GAGUCGCUGGCGGCGGCCUACACAUGCAGUCGAGCGGAUGAAGGGAGCUUGCUCUCUGAUUCCGCGGCGGACGGGUGAGUAAUGCCUAGGAAUCUGCCUGGUAUUGGGGGACAACGUUUCGAAAGGAACGCUAAUACCGCAUACGUCCUACGGGAGAAAGCAGGGGACCUUCGGGCCUUGCGCUAUCAGAUGAGCCUAGGUCGGAUUACCUAGUUGGUGGGGUAAUGGCUCACCAAGGCGACGAUCCGUAACUGGUCUGAGAGGAUGAUCAGUCACACUGGAACUGAGACACGGUCCAGACUCCUACGGGAGGCAGCAGUGGGGAAUAUUGGACAAUGGGCGAAAGCCUGAUCCAGCCAUGCCGCGUGUGUGAAGAAGGUCUUCGGAUUGUAAAGCACUUUAAGUUGGGAGGAAGGGCAGUAAGUUAAUACCUUGCUGUUUUGACGUUACCGACACAAUAAGCACCGGCUAACUUCGUGCCAGCAGCCGCG
Molecule: ribosomal RNA, 491 nt
Filed under: Pseudomonas sp. HPC 1046
Lineage: Bacteria; Pseudomonadati; Pseudomonadota; Gammaproteobacteria; Pseudomonadales; Pseudomonadaceae
Description: bacterial SSU rRNA
Rfam family: Bacterial small subunit ribosomal RNA
Source: RNAcentral